UGCAGUCGAACGGCAGCACGGACUUCGGUCUGGUGGCGAGUGGCGAACGGGUGAGUAAUAUAUCGGAACGUAUCCAAUAAUGGGGGAUAACUAAUCGAAAGGUUGGCUAAUACCGCAUACGCCCUACGGGGGAAAGCUAGGGACCUUCGGGCCUGGCGUUAAUGGAGCGGCUGAUAUCUGAUUAGCUAGUAGGUGAGGUAAAAGCUCACCUAGGCGACGAUCAGUAGCUGGUCUGAGAGGACGACCAGCCACACUGGAACUGAGACACGGUCCAGACUCCUACGGGAGGCAGCAGUGGGGAAUUUUGGACAAUGGGCGAAAGCCUGAUCCAGCCAUUCCGCGUGAGUGAAGAAGGCCUUCGGGUUGUAAAGCUCUUUCGCAAGGGAAGAAAACUUAGAUACUAAUAUUAUCUGAGGUUGACGGUACCUUGAUAAGAAGCACCGGCUAACUACGUGCCAGCAGCCGCGGUAAUACGUAGGGUGCGAGCGUUAAUCGGAAUUACUGGGCGUAAAGCGUGCGCAGGCGGUUUUGUAAGUCAGAUGUGAAAUCCCCGAGCUCAACUUGGGAACUGCGUUUGAAACUACAAGACUAGAAUAUGUCAGAGGGGGGUAGAAUUCCACGUGUAGCAGUGAAAUGCGUAGAGAUGUGGAGGAAUACCAAUGGCGAAGGCAGCCCCCUGGGAUAAUAUUGACGCUCAUGCACGAAAGCGUGGGGAGCAAACAGGAUUAGAUACCCUGGUAGUCCACGCCCUAAACGAUGUCUACUAGUUGUUGGUGGAGUAAAAUCCAUGAGUAACGCAGCUAACGCGUGAAGUAGACCGCCUGGGGGAGUACGGUCGCAAGAUUAAAACUCAAAUGAAUUGACGGGGGCCCGCACAAGCGGNGGAUUAUGUGGAUUAAUUCGAUGCAACGCGAAAAACCUUACCUGNNNUNGACAUGUAACGAACUUUNCAGANAUGGA
RNAcentral lists this ribosomal RNA (960 nucleotides) under uncultured bacterium. Its description in RNAcentral is "bacterial SSU rRNA". It matches the Rfam family "Bacterial small subunit ribosomal RNA", at positions 56 to 1010 of the family's 1533-position model. The record is from RNAcentral.